Diceros bicornis minor is the source of this 272-nucleotide long non-coding RNA. RefSeq lists it as uncharacterized. Lineage: Eukaryota; Metazoa; Chordata; Mammalia; Perissodactyla; Rhinocerotidae. The record is from RefSeq and is a predicted model, not a curated record. The transcript has 3 exons.
CCACUGGGGUGGACAUCAUCUGCACCUUCCACUCUGACCCCCGCUGGUCCUGGGCUGGACAGAGAGUGACUCUACUGGGAGCCGCGCCAUGAGACCCAGCGUGUCACCCACCUGGGCUCCCUCACCCUGGACGGGGACAGCCUCUACGUCAGUGAUUACACCUAUGGAGCUGCAGCCCCGACUACCACCAGCUUGCUCAUCCCUCUACUCACACAGUCUCCCCUCCCCUCACUCUCAUUUAUGCUUCACCUGUGAAUGGUGGUCCUGGCACA